RNAcentral lists this small RNA (125 nucleotides) under Arabidopsis thaliana (thale cress). Its description in RNAcentral is "ATSL303730". The record is from RNAcentral. Lineage: Eukaryota; Viridiplantae; Streptophyta; Magnoliopsida; Brassicales; Brassicaceae.
UUAUAGUUAGAUACAAUUUGUAAACUUUUAUAUAUACUAACAUUAAAAAAUAAAUUGUUUCCGCGGUGUACCGCGGGUUAAAAUCUAGUAUAUAUGUAUAAAUGUAACGAAUAAAAUGAGUAUAU